Molecule: ribosomal RNA, 443 nt
Filed under: uncultured bacterium
Lineage: Bacteria
Description: partial 16S ribosomal RNA
Rfam family: Bacterial small subunit ribosomal RNA
Source: RNAcentral
CCUACGGGUGGCAGCAGUGGGGAAUAUUGGGCAAUGGGCGCAAGCCUGACCCAGCAACGCCGCGUGAAGGAAGAAGGCUUUCGGGUUGUAAACUUCUUUUCUCAGGGACGAAGAAAGUGACGGUACCUGAGGAAUAAGCCACGGCUAACUACGUGCCAGCAGCCGCGGUAAUACGUAGGUGGCAAGCGUUAUCCGGAUUUAUUGGGUGUAAAGGGCGUGUAGGCGGGAGCGCAAGUCAGAUGUGAAAACUCAGGGCUCAACCCUGAGCCUGCAUUUGAAACUGUGUUUCUUGAGUGCUGGAGAGGCAAUCGGAAUUCCGGGCGUAGCGGUGAAAUGCGUAGAUAUACGGAGGAACACCAGUGGCGAAGGCGGUCUGCUGGACAGCAACUGACGGUGAGGCGCGAAAGCGUGGGGAGCAAACAGGAUUAGAUACCCGUGUAGUC